This is a long non-coding RNA of Mauremys mutica (yellowpond turtle), 941 nucleotides long. RefSeq lists it as uncharacterized. The transcript is spliced from 4 exons. The record is from RefSeq and is a predicted model, not a curated record. NCBI's taxonomy places the organism in Eukaryota, Metazoa, Chordata, Testudines, Geoemydidae.
GGAAGAACAGCGGCUACAAAGCAGCUGCAGCUCACGAAGGCUCCUCCACCUCUGGAAGAGAUCAGGGAUUGGAUGCUGGUGUCAAGGCGUAACGGAGCCCGUCGGCCCCUGUGCAGCCGGCUGGGGGGGAUCCCAGACACGAGAAACCGGAGCAGAUCAGGCUCCUGGGAUUGCCACAGCCCAGCAGCACCUUCCACAGCCUGAUUAAAGCCUUUGCCUUGAUUGUACCCGAGCUAAACGCCCGGCUGCGAGACAGCAACUGCGGCAUUCGCUUUAGAAUUGAAACCUCCGUGGCUGCAGACGGCCAGGGAUGGUCGGGGUCACUUAUUGUUUGAUUGCUACAGAACUAGCUUGUUUUAAAACUUAAAUCUAUGAGGAUCUUGUUUGUAUAGAAAAAUAACCAGGGGUGGCUGGACUGAAUUGUUAGCGAUGGGCUGUACCCAGCACACACUGUUCUGUUCGCUUUGAUUGUAACUUAGCCCCUGUUUUCUGUUUCUGUGGUGAUUAAGAUAUUGUUCUUUUUACUGCUGCAGCUUCCUGUGUAAUGGAAUAAAUCCUGAGUCACUCCUUGUCUACAUUACAAUUUGCACUGGUGUAACCAUAAAGGUGUGUAAUUAAACUGAGUUAGUUAAAUCCCUGUGUAGACCAACAUGGUCCGUUGUAGAAAUGGCAUUUUUUUUAUUUAAAGUGAUUCCCGAGAGACUCUUAAGCAACACCAGAAAAAAGCCACCUCUUCUACUAGAAUCAGUGUCCACUACCUGAUCUGGUUCAAGUUUGCAUGUAGACAAAGCCUAAGCUGGCACCAGUUCUGCUCCCAAAUGGGUCGAUUUUGUGUGUGACGGUUGUAAUUUAUUUUUUUUUUGAUUGGUUAAGGUUUUAACAACUGCUUUAAAUAGCAACACUGUUAAUCUCUUGGCGAUUUUAUGUGGACACAAUAAAUG